GUAAAGAAUAGUUCGCGCUAUAUAAGAAUCACUAGAGCCCAUGCUUUACACUGUCCACUAAUUCUGCCUGAGGAACUGGUACAAAAGCUGUGAGGAAAAUUUCAAAAUGAAGCACCUCCUGGGAAUGGACCUUCUUGUUGCUGUUGCCGUCGCACUAGCUGUGAUCAUCACGGCUCCUAACGAAGCGGUUGCUCUGGGUGAUGGCAUCGGAGGCAUUAGUUCAAUUGGUUUGCCCAAGAAGUGAACGAAUGCUGAAUACGGAUCAAGCUCUGGCCAUUAGUUUCGGCUAUUGAAUCACUUUUCAAAUGCAAUAAAGUUUUUAUACGUGAGAAGGA
Long non-coding RNA from Rhipicephalus microplus (southern cattle tick), 335 nucleotides. Lineage: Eukaryota; Metazoa; Arthropoda; Arachnida; Ixodida; Ixodidae. The record is from RefSeq and is a predicted model, not a curated record.